GGGGUUGUGGCUCAGUGGUGGAGGGCUCGCCUAGCACGUGUGGGGCCCUGAGUUCUAUCCUCAGCACCACG
Molecule: transfer RNA, 71 nt
Filed under: Marmota monax (woodchuck)
Lineage: Eukaryota; Metazoa; Chordata; Mammalia; Rodentia; Sciuridae
Description: tRNA.Ala
Source: RNAcentral